RNAcentral lists this transfer RNA (73 nucleotides) under Jasminum sambac. RNAcentral describes it as "tRNA-Gln". It matches the Rfam family "tRNA". From Rfam's summary of the family: Transfer RNA (tRNA) molecules are approximately 80 nucleotides in length. The record is from RNAcentral. Lineage: Eukaryota; Viridiplantae; Streptophyta; Magnoliopsida; Lamiales; Oleaceae.
UGGGGCGUGGCCGAGUGGUAAGGCACCGGGUUUUGAUCCCGUUCUUCGAAGGUUCGAAACCUUCCGUCCCAGA